AUGUUUCAACACUGUAAACACUAAAAUAUAUUUUAAACCCUUUUUGCUCCUUCAGAAAAUAUCGCAAGACUGUGCUUUUGCAGUGUCUCCCACCUAAGGAUGUGAGAGCCCUUCCAGACAUGAAUACACAGGGGAAAAGCAAAUGUCAUACUCACAAGACGAGCAAUGCCAGAAAUUUUUCAGGAAUUGCCAAAGCUCACAUAGCAGUACCAUGGUGGUAUACAGUACCUUCUUCAUGAUACUCUUUUUGAUAUCUACUCUUCACCUUAACCACAGCAGCUCAUAGAAGCACAUUCCUCUCUCCUUUCUGAGAAUUGAUUUAUCACCAUAAAGACGGUUUAUUAUACACCUUCUGCUGUAAAUCUUUCCUGCUCUAAUGGCUGAUAGAAGUCUGGCACCGCGGUGAGUUCCUGCUCAUUUACUCCCUGGAUAUCAGCAGCUGCAUUCACUGGGAACAAGGAAAUUGGCAAUGAGCUCAGAAGGUGCACGGGAGGCAACCCAAUUCCCACUGCAGCUGCAAAGGGACUUUGGGAAAAUUCCUGCAAGACACAUUGCAAUGGACUUCAUUAUUCAGAAGGAAGAUGUACAUCUCCUGAACCACAAGCAGAGUUGCUGCUCUCCUGGAGUCCUGCAUAACUUGGAACCUUAGGGUAAGAACAUGAAAGAAUGAACAACCACAAUGGAGAUAAUUUUCUGAAGAAAGCAGCAUGACUCUCGUGAAGUUAUGGACAUUCAUUUGCAGGAGCCUUAUUACCUGAUGUAAGCCAUUGUUAUCCUACUUCCUUCAAAGGUGCAUUAGUAGCUUACUUCAUUUUCACCAUCAGCUUAGAACUGCUCGUUGUUCACCACCGCUGCUGGAAAUACACACACUUCCCAAUGUCCAGACUUUUUAUGUACAAAGGUAAGUAUAUAAUGAAAACUAGAAGUUUAAAGAACAAUUAUCAACAAGAGAAAUUACAAAUUUGGCUAUUUUGAGUGUUCCAUCCAAAUGCUUAUUCAACAAUGUUUUUGUUCUUCCCCUCAAGUCUCCCUCCCCUUACACAUGUAUGUUGUGUGUGCCCUGCCCAAUAGCAUUGAAAACUGCAAACUCUUGACAGUCUGAGGGCUGACAGAGGGGGCAUCUGUUGUAUGUCGCAGCUUUUUUUUGAUGCCUGGUGAUAAUGUUGAUACAGAUACUUUGAUCUUUAAGCAGUUUGACUUCAUGGAAGAGAUUCUGACUGUGUGGAUGUCUAAAUAAGUUCCCUCAGCUCAUAAAUCUAAAUAAUUCUCAAACUCUCCUACUGGUUUUAUGAUCUCCUAAAUUAUACAGUCUGAAGUAUUUUUCAACUGUUCCACAUUUCUAGCCAAGUCUUUGGAGAUGGUGAAAACUGAGCCUUUAGUGUCCUGUUUCUAUUGCAGGAAGGGCACAAGCAGCUUUUGUAGGUCUGGGCAGAUGAAGAUGGUUUCCACCUGCUUUGUUCUUGGGCAGAUGUUUGUCAGGUUUAGAACCCAUUCUUCUUUUAUGCUUUUAUUAAAAACCUCUCCUCCACACAGGUAGAAGGGAAGGUAGGAAAAUGAAGCCUACUUGUGCUCUUGUUGAUAUCUUUUCAAGGUUGAUUUGAAUAAGGGACAGACUUUGUUGUUGUUGUUAUCACUGGAAUGCAAUAAUAAAAAAAAAUCAUUCUGAAC
Molecule: long non-coding RNA, 1668 nt
Filed under: Anas platyrhynchos platyrhynchos (common mallard)
Lineage: Eukaryota; Metazoa; Chordata; Aves; Anseriformes; Anatidae
Description: lncRNA (ENSAPLG00000026946.1)
Source: RNAcentral